Molecule: transfer RNA, 50 nt
Filed under: Albizia odoratissima
Lineage: Eukaryota; Viridiplantae; Streptophyta; Magnoliopsida; Fabales; Fabaceae
Description: partial tRNA-His
Source: RNAcentral
AAACUCGUAUACAUUAAAACCAAGAUUUUAUCCAUUUAUAGCUGGAGCCU